RNAcentral lists this ribosomal RNA (253 nucleotides) under uncultured bacterium. RNAcentral's name for it is "partial 16S ribosomal RNA". It matches the Rfam family "Bacterial small subunit ribosomal RNA", at positions 524 to 776 of the family's 1533-position model. The record is from RNAcentral.
UACGUAGGGUGCGAGCGUUAAUCGGAAUUACUGGGCGUAAAGCGUGCGCAGGCGGUUUGUUAAGACAGAUGUGAAGUCCCCGGGCUUAACCUGGGAACUGCAUUUGUGACUGGCAAGCUAGAGUAUGGCAGAGGGGGGUAGAAUUCCACGUGUAGCAGUGAAAUGCGUAGAGAUGUGGAGGAAUACCGAUGGCGAAGGCAGCCCCCUGGGCCAAUACUGACGCUCAUGCACGAAAGCGUGGGGAGCAAACAGG